RNAcentral lists this unclassified non-coding RNA (244 nucleotides) under Hevea brasiliensis (rubber tree). Lineage: Eukaryota; Viridiplantae; Streptophyta; Magnoliopsida; Malpighiales; Euphorbiaceae. The record is from RNAcentral.
GGUAUCUUCAUCUUCAGUUGAUAUUAAACAAUCACUUUGUCACAAUGAGGAGCGAGUUUACUGCGACAACUGUUCAACUUCAAUAGUCGAUCUUCAUCGAAGCUGCCCAGAUUGCUCAUACGAGCUAUGUAUAAGUUGCUGCCAAGAGCUUCGGGAAGGAAAGUGUUUAGGAAAUAGUAAAAAAGCAGUUGUCAAAUAUCCAAAUAUAGGUUAUGAUUACAUGCACGGUGGAGACGCAGAGCCU